GGGCGCAUAGCUCAGCUGGUUAGAGCGCCGUCUUGACAUGGCGGAGGUCCGUGGUUCGAGUCCACGUGCGCCCA
This 74-nucleotide transfer RNA is filed under the name Oceanibacterium hippocampi. RNAcentral describes it as "Sneathiella sp. BFLP-8 tRNA". It matches the Rfam family "tRNA". Rfam says of the family: Transfer RNA (tRNA) molecules are approximately 80 nucleotides in length. Their secondary structure includes four short double-helical elements and three loops (D, anti-codon, and T loops). The record is from Rfam by way of RNAcentral. Lineage: Bacteria; Pseudomonadati; Pseudomonadota; Alphaproteobacteria; Sneathiellales; Sneathiellaceae.